AGGACGAACGCUGGCGGCGUGCUUAACACAUGCAAGUCGAGCGAGGCCUCCCUUCGGGGAGUGUCCGAGCGGCGAACGGGUGAGUAACACGUGGGCAACCUGCCUCUAGCUCUGGGAUAACUCCGGGAAACCGGGGCUAAUACCGGAUACGACCUCGAGCGGCAUCUAUCGAGGUGGAAAGUUUUUCGGCUAGAGAUGGGCCCGCGGCCUAUCAACUUGUUGGUGAGGUAACGGCCCACCAAGGCGACGACGGGUA
This 256-nucleotide ribosomal RNA is filed under the name uncultured soil bacterium. Its description in RNAcentral is "partial 16S ribosomal RNA". It matches the Rfam family "Bacterial small subunit ribosomal RNA", at positions 26 to 285 of the family's 1533-position model. The record is from RNAcentral.